Pseudophryne corroboree (corroboree frog) is the source of this 272-nucleotide long non-coding RNA. RefSeq lists it as uncharacterized. Lineage: Eukaryota; Metazoa; Chordata; Amphibia; Anura; Myobatrachidae. The record is from RefSeq and is a predicted model, not a curated record. The transcript is spliced from 3 exons.
AGGGACGCUGACGUCUUGCACAGUGUGAGGAGUGAGGGACGGAUGCAGUUCCUAACCCCCUCCCACGGCGUGUGUCCCGUUCGCGGGUCUUCCUUCACAUAUAAGCCGGAGCCUGUCAAUCUGACGAUGCAGGACCAGAUCUACACAUGCGCAGAUGGGUAUGCAAAGUUUAGAAGACGUCGGAGAUAUUUGUAAGGAGUCACAUUUCUGUGCUGUGCCAACCAAUGGGAAACACGGAGCACACUUCAAAAUGUAGACAAAAUAAAUGCAGA